ACCAAAAUUUUCACUGUCUGUGGGACAAGUGCCAUAACCUCUUCACCUAAUCCAGGGCACCCCACUUUUUACAUUCACUUUCUGACUUGGUGCCCUGUCUGUAAGGUCAAGAGGUUCCUUUUCCACCCACUGCUCAUCCAUUUUGCCAUUCUGGGCUUCUGGACCCUGGCUCUUCCUGGAUUGCUUGAAUCACUGAGAGGUUCUCAGAAUGUACAUUUCCUUAUUCCACCCAUUCUAGAAAGCCUCUAAUAGUACGGCUGCACCUUAACACCACCAAGUGAUUCAGAGUACAAAGGAGAGGUUCUGUGUGACACGUUCUAAGCCUUAGCUGCAUGACGUAAACAAUAAUCAAAUAAGUAUGUAUUAAUAGUCACAUACUCAUUAUCUACAGGCUACAUGAAGAAAGAGUUGGCCACUACUAGGAACUGUGCUUGCAAAUUAGAUUUGUGGAAGGUAGAUAGAUGGAUGCCUAAAAUAAAUUGAUUCUCUAAAGGACCAUACAUGCAUGCAGGAGGAUUACUGGAAGGAACAACGUGGUCAGAGUUCAGGCUCUCAUUCAGACUGACUCCACUGCUGUCAGCUGCUACCUUGGUAAAGUUGCUUCAUCCCCUAAACCCUUAUUUUUUAUCAUCUUUAAACUAGGGUCAAUUGUGAUACUCAACUGGGAAAAACAAAGAGCACAGUUCAUUUAAAUGCUUAGCAUAUAUUCUGAUACAUUGUGUGCACCAACACACCACCUUCAACACAGAAAGAAAAUUUGAAUGUAGCUUCAAUUUCAUUGCUGUAUUCAAAGUUGAGAAGGUGAAUAAUCACACAUCAGAUUAAAAAUAUAGAGUGACCUUCCCCACUACCCAAUGUGAAGUAAAAAAACAACUUAUAUCCUAUGUGUUGUGAUAUGCCUUGUUAUUUCGGUGUUUUCGUUUCCAUUCUGUAUGAUGAGACGUUGAGGACAGACGCCAGGUUCAAUGUGGGAGUCAAAAGGGAGGUGUUCUGGGAAAGCUGCAUAAUAGUGUUCCACCUAAAUGCCAUUCUAAUCUCUAACACCUCCUCUUAAGUCUGCUGUGAUACGUGUUACUCCUGGUACAGCUGGCUGCACCAUACCUGUUCCAGUGUGGUGAAACCUGAAAACUUGGAUGUCAAACUUUCAUUUGACCAAAAGAUAGAAAUCUAAACUGAUAGGACAAAGAGGCAACAGGUAAAAAUUGCAACUCACCAAUCAGUGCACAGACUAGUAGAUUGGUAUCAACCUGUUAGAAAUGCAGAUGUGUGGGUCUCACCCCAUUCUAGCUGAAUCAGGAGUUGAUUAAUGUCAGGACCCUCAGAGAUGCACUGAAGUGAGGAAUGUUUCACAUCAUGUGUUUCAUUUUCAUUUUAGAAAUUCCUAUGUUGGGGUGAUGGACCUCAUUGCUUCAACCAAUUUAAUAAAAAUGGUAUAGUGAGUGAGCAGAUAAAGUCCUGAGUGAAUGUGUACUGUUGACAUUAGUACAGCCAUGUCAAGGACACAAUGCCUCAGACCCCUGUGGAUAGCAAGGCCUUCCUGUGGUUCUACAGAUGUUUGCAGUGUAUAUUGACCACAGUUUCCUCCUCCUAGAUCACAGCAAUGAGACUGCUCCUCCACAGCUACGUAUAACAGAUGCACCGAGUUUCUGGGGUGCUGGGGAAGCUCACUGUCAGAACAAAUUGCCCACUCAGCCCCAGCUUUUCUCUUGUGUGUUUGUCCUUUCUUCAUUUCCUGUCAGCUCCCUUGAAGAGAAGAAAUAGACAACAGAUGAAGAUGAAGUUUUAACCAUUAGGAACUCCCAGAAAGCUUAUUAUUAUAUACAACAAAACUCUCACAUCACAUUUCCUUGAUGGGUGAUGAGAAUACACGAAGUCCACACUUCUUUUUCCUCAAUUUCUGAGAACAUGGGUGCACUGAAGGAAGAAAAAAUUCAGAAGGGUUUGUUCUCCUGUCCUUAAUUAUGGCUAUGUGUAAUUGGGAAAGCAAUUUCCUAAACAGAACUUGAAUAAGCCUUGAAUAACAGGUUUGUGUAACCCAGGCCCUUCUCAAGCCUGACUUGGGGCUUGGCUGUUUUUCUCAGCUGCAGCAGAGUGAUGCCUUUUCUGAGACUCAUCUGUACGUUUGCUUUUGGAAAGUGAACUUGGUGUUUUGGGGAAUCAAAUCCAAAACUUUUGAAACCAUUUAAUCCCCUUUUCACCCAACAAAGUAGAAUACAUUAGAAUGAAAACAAUGGUUUUCUUUUCAAAGCACCGCAGGCCAGUCUUCAGUAUUUUUCCUACUUUGCUUCCCUCUAGUGUCUCAAAGUGAAAUGUGCAUGGAAAUUUUACACACGGACAUGCCCUGCUCAAUGAAUUUGUUCAUCAGAAAGAAGUGGUGCAGAGUCCUCUUGUCCUUUUAAAGAUUCAAACGCCCUCUGUCUCCCUAAACUACCAAUAGCACCUCUUCCUGGAAAUACUUGGUUCUAUUUUUUUUUUUUAUUUAAACUGAAUAAUACUAGAGAUCAUAAAAGUGUGCAGAUUUCAAGCUCAACUUGUAUUUUAAAGGUGAAUAAUUUACUAUAAUGGAGUGUUGACUUCAUUAUGCUAUAAUACAACAUUUUUAAAGGAAGGGAGAAAUCUAUCAACAUUUAGAUUUCAUGUGUAUUACACUCUACUCUUAGAGACAGCAUCUUGCCUCUUUCUGGUAAUGUUUUUACAUCUGUUUUUGUUUGUAUGUUUGUUUUUAGUCUUGUAAAAGAAAACAUUCAAAGUUUGUCCCACAGCAGGAACUGUUACUGAAUCAGUGCAUCAUUCAACGUGCAGCAGAUAGCUUCUUUUUUGCAAGAGAUGGAAACUAUUAUAGAGAUCCACAAUUGGACACCAUGCAGAGGGUCAGAAACUUUGGAGCACUCAGGUGUAAAUGGGAUGUCUGCAUCAAACCCCUCCCCUCAAGGCUCAGCGAUCCAUGUGGAAGAGAAGGCAAAAAGAUUUCAAGAGCCAGAGGUGGUUAUGGGUAGCACUAUCUCCAAGACACAACUGGACUGAUGCACUUAUGAACUCACAGAAACUGUGGUACCAUACAUAGCACAUUGCACAAGUUCACAUCAGAUAGGGUCCCAGCACUGAGAAGGGAAAGUAGACAUAAGGUCCCACCCCUAACCAAGAAGCUCUUUGCAAUUGAUACCUGCUGGCAAAGGGAAAAAUCAGUUUUCUCCAAUGAAGUGUGAUUGGAUAUAUCAACCAUAAUCCAGGGCAGGCCUCCAAGUCCAGGAGUAGUUAGCUAACACAAAACAUUCUCCAUGGUUUGUUUGUAUUUUUUUCUGGGCUUUUAAUUUCAUUUUAGCAUUUUUUGUUUUAUUUGUUUUUUUG
Peromyscus leucopus (white-footed mouse) is the source of this 3348-nucleotide long non-coding RNA. RefSeq lists it as uncharacterized. The record is from RefSeq and is a predicted model, not a curated record. The transcript has 4 exons. Lineage: Eukaryota; Metazoa; Chordata; Mammalia; Rodentia; Cricetidae.